AUGCACGCUGGCGGCGUGCCUAAUACAUGCAAGUCGAGCGAACGGACGAGAAGCUUGCUUCUCUGAUGUUAGCGGCGGACGGGUGAGUAACACGUGGAUAACCUACCUAUAAGACUGGGAUAACUUCGGGAAACCGGAGCUAAUACCGGAUAAUAUUUUGAACCGCCUGGUUCAAAAGUGAAAGACGGUCUUGCUGUCACUUAUAGAUGGAUCCGCGCUGCAUUAGCUAGUUGGUAAGGUAACGGCUUACCAAGGCAACGAUGCAUAGCCGACCUGAGAGGGUGAUCGGCCACACUGGAACUGAGACACGGUCCAGACUCCUACGGGAGGCAGCAGUAGGGAAUCUUCCGCAAUGGGCGAAAGCCUGACGGAGCAACGCCGCGUGAGUGAUGAAGGUCUUCGGAUCGUAAAACUCUGUUAUUAGGGAAGAACAUAUGUGUAAGUAACUGUGCACAUCUUGACGGUACCUAAUCAGAAAGCCACGGCUAACUACGUG
This 496-nucleotide ribosomal RNA is filed under the name uncultured bacterium. Its description in RNAcentral is "partial 16S ribosomal RNA". It matches the Rfam family "Bacterial small subunit ribosomal RNA", at positions 29 to 507 of the family's 1533-position model. The record is from RNAcentral.